AAAGUCCCUGUGUAAGUGGCGGGAUUAGUGGCGCAGGUUAGUGUGGGGAGUAGUGAGGAGAGAAACAGACGCUAUCGACCUGAGAGUUAAAGGGAGGAGGCAUCGCGGUGUGGGGAACAUUUUAGUUUUAUCGUGGAGGUCGACAACUCGUGGUCCUGAUAUAAACUUGUGUAUGACUUGCAAGAGGAGACGGACGUUGGAGAGAGAGAGAGACGGGUUUCCAACCGAUGGCCCGGCUGUGCUGUUUUUCCUCCUUGUGACUUCGCCACCGUGCCAUUGCCCGCUCGUGUGUUUGAUUUGUGACCGCCAAGGCGCCAACGCCAUUGCCAUUAUCAUCGUGAGACUCAUCCCCCCCCUCCUACCUCUACUAACAACACCCUGGAUUCGCGGCUUCACUGAGCAGUCUUUAUGCGGUUCUGCAGGGAGAAGCCUCUCUCCGCUGGCACACUGGAGACGGGGAUAACACAGGCUACCUUUGCCAGUUUGACCCACUCUGGGAAGAUUUCCACGUAAUCUCUUAUGAGCAUCUCGCAGGCCGAUGAAAAAUGCAAGCCCCCGUAACUGCGGAGGGCUGUCAUCAUUGGGAUGGCAUCGAUGAAUGUGGUGGCUGUUGCCGAAUCGUCCUCGCUUGCAAUGUCUUGGCCAAAAUGACCCAGCAUGGUUUGGAUUGCUGGUUCUGCAUUCUCCCCAAGUGCUGAGAGAACGGAGGGACAAUCAGUCUGUGUUUUUUUAUUUUUAGCCAAUAAACAACUAAUUAUUCCUUGGUUAUUCCUGUGUCUCCAACGUUCAUGUAACACU
Gadus chalcogrammus (walleye pollock) is the source of this 798-nucleotide long non-coding RNA. RefSeq lists it as uncharacterized. The transcript has 3 exons. The record is from RefSeq and is a predicted model, not a curated record. NCBI's taxonomy places the organism in Eukaryota, Metazoa, Chordata, Actinopteri, Gadiformes, Gadidae.